Molecule: ribosomal RNA, 288 nt
Organism: Nomascus leucogenys (northern white-cheeked gibbon)
Lineage: Eukaryota; Metazoa; Chordata; Mammalia; Primates; Hylobatidae
Rfam family: Eukaryotic large subunit ribosomal RNA
Source: Rfam
CAAGGAAUAGUGCCAUAUCAAAGGCGCAGUGUUGGUUUCUGCUGCUGGCAAAUUGGGCACUCUGCAGUGGCAGUAUCCAGGUCAGCUUUCCACUGGCCCAUCUUGUUUUCCGCACUGGGAAGGUGGGGCACAAGCACAAAUGUUAGGACCUGAAAGGUGGUGAACUCUGCCUGGGCAGGGCAAAGCCAGAGGAAACUCUGGUGGAGGUCUGUAGCAGUCCUGAUGUGCAAAUCGGUCAUCCAACCUGGGUGUAGGGGCAAAAGACUAAUUGAACCAUCUAGUAGCUAG